Non-coding RNA from Pelobates cultripes (western spadefoot toad), 379 nucleotides. The record is from the annotation of a GenBank genome assembly. NCBI's taxonomy places the organism in Eukaryota, Metazoa, Chordata, Amphibia, Anura, Pelobatidae.
CAGCUUGUUCCUGCACAGAGAAUGAUCUAUUUGGGCGCCUUCUUCAAUUCCCUCCAAGGGGAAGUACAACUUUCACAGGACAGGGAAAGGCACCUUCAAUCAAAGAUCAAAGAUAUAUUGCCUGUCAGUGUAACUCCAGCACAAAACAUCAUAAGCUUGUUAGAAUCUAUAUCCUCAACAAUCGGACUGACAAGAUGGGACCAGUGGUAGAUGAGACCAUUGCAAGAACAUUUUCUGAGAAAGUUCAACACAGGCAACCUUCUCCAGCCCAUCUGAAUUUCUCUCAUUAUUUCCUGCUAUAGUAACCAAGAGACAAAAACACAUACAAGGAGCUCUCACUAGGAGAAGCUUCAUGGAUCAUCUUGACUACAAACACCAG